RNAcentral lists this ribosomal RNA (275 nucleotides) under uncultured bacterium. RNAcentral's name for it is "partial 16S ribosomal RNA". It matches the Rfam family "Bacterial small subunit ribosomal RNA", at positions 338 to 626 of the family's 1533-position model. The record is from RNAcentral.
CCUACGGGUGGCUGCAGUGGGGAAUCUUGGACAAUGGGCGAAAGCCUGAUCCGGCAAUAUGGCGUGAGUGAAGAAGGGCAACGCAGCUUGUAAAGCUCUUUCAUCGAGUGUGCGAUUGUGACAAGACUCGAAUAAGAAGCCCCGGCUAACUCCGUGCCAGCAGCCGCGGUAAGACGGGGGGGGCUAGUGUUAUUCAGAAUGACUAGGCGUAAAGGGCACGUAGGCGGUGAAUCCGGUUGAGAGUGAAAGUCGCCAGCUCAACUGGCGGAAUGCUU